GACGAACGCUGGCGGCGUGCUUAAUACAUGCAAGUCAACGACUUUUAGAGUAGCAAUAUUCUAAAGGAAGUGGCGCACGGGUGAGUAACACGUAGGUAAUCUGCCUUCAGGACUGACACAACUCGUCGAAAGACGGGCUAAUAUCAGAUAAUGCAGCGGCUCCGCAUGGAGACAGUUGUUAAAGUACAAGCGCCUGAAGAUGAGCCUGCGGUCCAUUAGCUAGUUGGUAGAGUAAAGCCUACCAAGGCAACGAUGGAUAGCUGGUCUGAGAGGAUGAUCAGCCACACUGGAACUGAGACACGGUCCAGACUCCUACGGGAGGCAGCAGUAAGGAAUAUUGCUCAAUGGCCGAAAGGCUGAAGCAGCAACGCCGCGUGAAGGAUGAAUGGCCUUUGGCCUGUAAACUUCUGUAAAAGGGAAACAGUACAGGUAUAUCCUGAUUGAUUGUACCUUUGAAG
RNAcentral lists this ribosomal RNA (458 nucleotides) under uncultured bacterium. Its description in RNAcentral is "bacterial SSU rRNA". It matches the Rfam family "Bacterial small subunit ribosomal RNA", at positions 28 to 487 of the family's 1533-position model. The record is from RNAcentral.